AUAUCUGUAUAAACAAUUUUAUCUCCGUAAUUAUAAAGUGUUUUGGGAUGGUGUUCAAGGCACUAUAUAAAAUAAAAGUUGACUGUUUGUUACUAAAAAUGACAACAACAAAAAAGAUUACAGAGACAUUAAGUGAGUUUGUGCAAAUUUAUUUGCAUUCAAAUGCCGAUAAAGCACAGGCUACAGUUUGUCACAGCAGAACUUUUUGAAAACAAAUGGCUAAACAGACAAAGGAAAGAGACAGGAGUAAACACUAGAUAAAGACAUGUGACCUCACGUCAGCCCCAGCCUCUGACGUGCCUCUUCUGGCCCCUAAGCAGAUAAAGAUUGGCCUCAGUGUCAGUUAUGUUAUGUCCAAGGAAGAAGGUACAUUGACUGAUUAGCCCUCCCAAAUGGCCACCCACAAAGCCCAGUCUAAG
Erpetoichthys calabaricus (reedfish) is the source of this 419-nucleotide long non-coding RNA. RefSeq lists it as uncharacterized. The record is from RefSeq and is a predicted model, not a curated record. NCBI's taxonomy places the organism in Eukaryota, Metazoa, Chordata, Cladistia, Polypteriformes, Polypteridae. The transcript has 3 exons.